UGCGGGAGCGGGCUUGCUCGCGAUAGCGGUGCGUCAGUCAACAUUGAUAGCGACUGACCUACCGCUAUCGCGAGCAAGCCCGCUCCCACA
RNAcentral lists this unclassified non-coding RNA (90 nucleotides) under Pseudomonas migulae. Lineage: Bacteria; Pseudomonadati; Pseudomonadota; Gammaproteobacteria; Pseudomonadales; Pseudomonadaceae. The record is from RNAcentral.